Pelobates cultripes (western spadefoot toad) is the source of this 167-nucleotide non-coding RNA. The record is from the annotation of a GenBank genome assembly. Lineage: Eukaryota; Metazoa; Chordata; Amphibia; Anura; Pelobatidae.
GGUCAGCUGACACAUCCCUGCCAAUCUCUGGCAGACCCUCCCUCCCAGACCCUCCCACCUCCUGGACAGCAUCCAUGUUGAAGCUGCCUUCAACAUGGAUGCUGUCCAGGAAGUAGGAGGGUCUGGGAGGGAGGGUCUGCCGGAGAUUGGCAGGGAUGUGUCAGCUG